CUACGGGAUGCAGCAGUGGGGAAUAUUGCACAACGGGCGAAAGCCUGAUGCAGCAACGCCGCGUGAGGGACGACGGCCUUCGGGUUGUAAACCUCUUUUAGCAGGGAAGAAGCGAAAGUGACGGUACCUGCAGAAAAAGCACCGGCUAACUACGUGCCAGCAGCCGCGGUAAUACGUAGGGUGCAAGCGUUGUCCGGAAGUAUUGGGCGUAAAGAGCUCGUAGGCGGUUUGUCGCGUCUGCUGUGAAAAUCCGAGGCUCAACCUCGGACCUGCAGUGGGUACGGGCAAACUAGAGUGCGGUAGGGGAGAUUGGAAUUCCUGGUGUAGCGGUGGAAUGCGCAGAUAUCAGGAGGAACACCAAUGGCGAAGGCAGAUCUCUGGGCCGUAACUGACGCUGAGGAGCGAAAGCGUGGGGAGCGAACAGGAUUAGAUACCCCGGUAGUC
RNAcentral lists this ribosomal RNA (444 nucleotides) under uncultured bacterium. RNAcentral describes it as "partial 16S ribosomal RNA". It matches the Rfam family "Bacterial small subunit ribosomal RNA", at positions 339 to 795 of the family's 1533-position model. The record is from RNAcentral.